CACUUUUAUUUCUCCUGUCGAC
RNAcentral lists this non-coding RNA (22 nucleotides) under Arabidopsis thaliana (thale cress). The record is from RNAcentral. Lineage: Eukaryota; Viridiplantae; Streptophyta; Magnoliopsida; Brassicales; Brassicaceae.